GAGAUUUUGAGUGCCGGUUGAUUCCGAUUUUCUUCACCUCCGGGAACUGAUGUUGAUGCCACUCAACAACUCGCAGCAGGUAUUGGUGCUGCUGUUCAUCCUUCAUUAGAAUCUGAUUGUAAUCCUGGGUAAGUGCAACUCUUCGCU
Thalassophryne amazonica is the source of this 147-nucleotide long non-coding RNA. RefSeq lists it as uncharacterized. Lineage: Eukaryota; Metazoa; Chordata; Actinopteri; Batrachoidiformes; Batrachoididae. The transcript is spliced from 3 exons. The record is from RefSeq and is a predicted model, not a curated record.